AAAGGGACAGCUUUGAGAAAAGCAGGCUGCCUUGCAAAGCGAGCGAGCAAGCGGGCCUGUCCUCCCUUGACAAGGACAGUUGGCAUGUGUGACAGCUGCACAGUGGCCGGGGAUUAUCUCUCUGGCGCACACAGCCGCCUUUGCGUGGCAGGCAGGAAGGAAGCCAAGGGCAGUAUCUCCCGGGACUCACGCUGCAAUUUUCGGCGCGACCGAGAGAGGCAGCCUGAGCAAACAAAAGCCUUUUCUAUCCGCAGCUCGGACGAGGUUCCGCACAAAGACGCUUUUCCUUGCCGUUUGACCCAGCCACCCCCAGCCAGCACUGAGCUUCUCCCGGCAAUCCUAACCGCGAACGAGCGCGGCAGCUGGUCACAUUCGCUUCCUGCUCCAAAGAUCGAGGAGCAGAGCCGCCUCUCGUGGCCUCGGGAGGGGAGCGCGGUGUUUUGUGGUCGGUUAACCGGCCGGCUGGCCGGCUUGCCUUCCGCCGCUCGUUCACCCGUUUGCCUGGCGCUGCCAGCCAGCGCAACUACACAACGGCAAGCUCCCAUUUGUAGGCCUUGGCCGAGAAGAAAGAGCCAGUGUGCGGCCGUACCCCAAGGUGGCUGAACGCCAGCAAUUACGGGUUCCCGCUCUGGCGCUUCCCUCUCCAGCUGGAGGUGGAGUUGGCGAGGGAGCGCGUUGAUUACAAGCGGCUUGCGUGAUCGCGCGCAGGAUUAGGGCUCGGGCUGAGUAAGGAAGAAGACGGAGGCGCCAUUUGCUGCCGCAACACACCACCUCUCGGGCGUACGAAAGCGAGUGGCAGUCGGGAACCUCCACAGGGCAUGCUGAGGCGGGGAGUGAAAGGGGCGGGCGGGGCCGGGCUGUUGACAAUCUGCUAGGCAGAAACUUACUAGCUCCCGGCCAAGUGGGAAAUGCGGGUAGUUUCCAGUUUCCAGACAUAGUAAUAGGAAACCACAUGGCGGAAAGUCCUCCUACCCUAGCCCUGAAUGAGUUGCAGGCUGGCGCAAUACUUAAAGGGCGAGACGCCCGCUUGCAUUCCCUAGUGGAGACGUUCGUUUAAAAAUGAAAAGGGGGAGGGAAGAUUGCACCUAAUCUCUCCCCAAAAGAUUUUUUGACAGGACGGUAGAUGAGACGGUAAUAUACAUUCGGUAAAAAAGCCGCUUCCCAUACAUUUCUAUUCUUCUCCGUUUAAAACAAGGUGGGGGUGGGGGAAAUCCGACAGCGCUGGGCUGCUCCCAAGCCUCUAGUGUUAAAUCGAGACCGACUCAGUCAACCCCUCGGCUAAUCUCCCAUACGCUAAUUGAGAGAAUGUCUUUAUGAAUGAAUGCGUCCGACUAUGCCCUUAAGGCAAUCGGCGUUGCCUACCUCUGAGAGGGGAACUGGUAACGAGUCAGGCACAUUACGUCAGACUGGAGGUUUUUCUAAAGAGAAAAAUGUGGAAAUAAGGCUCGAGGCUUUGGUUCCUGAUGAGCGAUCCUGGGUUAGAAAGGAUAGAGGAGUGUUGGUUGAGAAAGACAGCCCACCCCGGCCCUUCCUUUUCCCGCGGAUUGUGUUGAACUGCCUUGUGUUUCAGUUGGACAGGAUGCAGUUUGUUGUUCAGAAAAGGGAUGAGAAACCCACAUAUUACCAGCAACAGUAGAGUUUCAGAGUAAUCCUUAGUGACCUGAUUGUUAAUGAGGACAAGACCAUUUUGGCUUCAUCUUGGGACAGAUACACUAGGCAGCACAGACUUUCACAAUGGAAAUGGCAACUGUUAUGUUAGCAUUGUUUUGUGCUGAUUCAAGGAACAGUAGGAAGCAUUUUAAUCCAAUACUGUGGAAAGUCUUCCUCCUUUUCUUGUUUUUCCCCUCUUUUAGAAUGUUCUUUAGUGAUUCGGGAUUAAGUGGACUUUUCUGCAAUGCUCUGGCUUCAAAUGCACAGAUGCAAAGUAAAGCAUAAUAAAGAGUGUAGGAUCACAUUGUUUCUGGAGCAUAACAGUGUCUGCUAAUCUCCCAUCCUGUUCUUUCGCCCCACUCAUUUAAAACAAACUGCCUACUCAGUGUCUGUCUUACAUGUAAUGUAAAUGAGAGAGCAUCCUUCACAUUACAAGGAUAAUUUAAAAUGAAGUUUAACUUCCUGAAUCUCUUGAAAAAGCUGGGUGUUUCCUUUUGUGAAUGGCAAAAUUGACCUGUUAUUGAAGAGAAUAUAUGUAACUUCAUAACAAUCAAAUAAAAUAGUAACCUGCCAGCUCAGAAAAUAAGAAAUCCAUUUAACCUUUUUUUAAAAAAAUAUUUCUUGUGAAUUUAUAGUGGCUGCCAUUUCUUGCGGAUAUACUUGGAAAGUAUUGCUGAGAUAAGGGACAAUGGAAAAGCUUCCAAACUGAUCUUGCCUCUAUCCUAGUGCUUUGUCUUUAUUCAUAAAAUGCAGGUAUUAGUCAACUAGAAUCAAGAAUAAAAAAUGCAGAAAUGAAAGGUGGACAUUCUGUGGUUCACAAAGAUUGGUGGUCUGCAUAAAUCAUCUCAAUUAGUCAUGCUGUUUAAGGCUGCUAGAAGCUGGAAUCCAACAAAUUCUGGAGGGCAAAGGUUACCCAUCCCUGUUUGGAAUAAGGCUUCAUCAGCUGGUGUCUCCAGAAAUCUUAGCCAAAACUCUGGUUAUCUGCAUUUGCCAUUCUGCUGGAGGAUUAUGGAAGUUGAAACCUAUUACAUCUGGAGGUCAUA
Molecule: long non-coding RNA, 2693 nt
Organism: Crotalus tigris (Tiger rattlesnake)
Lineage: Eukaryota; Metazoa; Chordata; Lepidosauria; Squamata; Viperidae
Exons: 3
Source: RefSeq, a predicted model, not a curated record